GUGUUUGUAGCUUAAUUCAAAGCCCCCGCCUGUGAAGCGGGAAGAUAUCGGGUCGAGUCCGAUCAUACACCCCA
This 74-nucleotide transfer RNA is filed under the name Gammaproteobacteria bacterium. RNAcentral describes it as "tRNA-His". It matches the Rfam family "tRNA". From Rfam's summary of the family: Transfer RNA (tRNA) molecules are approximately 80 nucleotides in length. Their secondary structure includes four short double-helical elements and three loops (D, anti-codon, and T loops). Lineage: Bacteria; Pseudomonadati; Pseudomonadota; Gammaproteobacteria. The record is from RNAcentral.